AAUUCCGAGUCUCCUUCCGAAGAGGGUUCAACCUGGACCUGGGUGCUCAACAGUUGCUCUUGAGUCUUGAUGCAGCGCUCUCGGAAUACUUUUAUAUGAUAUACGGCUUGUUUCAAGUCAAGAAGACAGCAAGCGCAUAUGUGGGAUGGCAGCUCUGGACUGCUUUCCAGCUUUCCAGCUACUAUUUCAAUGUUCGUUAGGAUUUCAGAGUUCUCACACUCAAAGAGAUUCUUGGCGUUCAUGUUGUAAAUUACAGUUCCGCAGUAAACAAACAAAUGCUUCAAUAUACAGUUUUUUUUUCCUUCUAUAAAGGGAAACAGCUGUUUAUUGGAUACUAAGAAUCACUGUGAAUGCAUUUCAAAUAAGAGGAAGCAAGAAUUUUAAUUGUGAACAAAAUAUUCGCUUUCAUGUUUCAGCUGAAAAUUUGUUUU
Drosophila montana is the source of this 431-nucleotide long non-coding RNA. RefSeq lists it as uncharacterized. The transcript has 3 exons. The record is from RefSeq and is a predicted model, not a curated record. Lineage: Eukaryota; Metazoa; Arthropoda; Insecta; Diptera; Drosophilidae.